RNAcentral lists this ribosomal RNA (739 nucleotides) under uncultured fungus. Its description in RNAcentral is "SSU rRNA". It matches the Rfam family "Eukaryotic small subunit ribosomal RNA", at positions 830 to 1590 of the family's 1831-position model. Lineage: Eukaryota; Fungi. The record is from RNAcentral.
GCUUUCCUAUUUUGUUGGUUUCUAGGGGAGCCGUAAUGAUUAAUAGGGAUAGUCGGGGGCAUCAGUAUUCAAUUGUCAGAGGUGAAAUUCUUGGAUUUAUUGAAGACUAACUACUGCGAAAGCAUUUGCCAAGGAUGUUUUCAUUAAUCAGUGAACGAAAGUUAAGGGAUCGAAGACGAUCAGAUACCGUCGUAGUCUUAACCAUAAACUAUGCCGACUAGGGAUCGGGCGAUGUUACUAUCUUGACUCGCUCGGCACCUUACGAGAAAUCAAAGUUUUUGGGUUCUGGGGGGAGUAUGGUCGCAAGGCUGAAACUUAAAGAAAUUGACGGAAGGGCACCACCAGGAGUGGAGCCUGCGGCUUAAUUUGACUCAACACGGGGAAACUCACCAGGUCCAGAUACAAGUAGGAUUGACAGAUUGAGAGCUCUUUCUUGAUUUUGUAGUUGGUGGUGCAUGGCCGUUCUUAGUUGGUGGAGUGAUUUGUCUGCUUAAUUGCGAUAACGAACGAGACCUUAACCUGCUAAAUAGCCCGGCUCGCUUUGGCGGGUCGCUGGCUUCUUAGAGGGACUAUCGGCUCAAGCCGAUGGAAGUUUGAGGCAAUAACAGGUCUGUGAUGCCCUUAGAUGUUCUGGGCUGCACGCGCGCUACACUGACAGAGCCAACGAGUUUUUUUCCUUGGCCGGAAGGUCUGGGUAAUCUUGUUAAACUCUGUCGUGCUGGGGAUAGAGCAUUGCAAU